RNAcentral lists this ribosomal RNA (495 nucleotides) under uncultured Bacteroidota bacterium. RNAcentral's name for it is "bacterial SSU rRNA". It matches the Rfam family "Bacterial small subunit ribosomal RNA", at positions 79 to 573 of the family's 1533-position model. Lineage: Bacteria; Pseudomonadati; Bacteroidota. The record is from RNAcentral.
CUUGCUUCCGCCGACGACCGGCGCACGGGUGCGUAACGCGUAUACAAUCUACCUUAUACUGGGGUAUAGCCUUUAGAAAUGAAGAUUAACCCCCCAUAGUCUCUUAGAGUGGCAUCACUUCUAGAGUAAAGGUUACGGUAUAAGAUGAGUAUGCGUUCUAUUAGUUUGUUGGUGUGGUAACGGCACACCAAGACUACGAUAGAUAGGGGCCCUGAGAGGGGGAUCCCCCACACUGGUACUGAGACACGGACCAGACUCCUACGGGAGGCAGCAGUGAGGAAUAUUGGACAAUGGAGGCAACUCUGAUCCAGCCAUGCCGCGUGCAGGAAGACUGCCCUAUGGGUUGUAAACUGCUUUUAUACAGGAAGAAACACCUCUACGUGUAGAGGCUUGACGGUACUGUAAGAAUAAGGAUCGGCUAACUCCGUGCCAGCAGCCGCGGUAAUACGGAGGAUCCAAGCGUUAUCUGGAAUCAUUGGGUUUAAAGGGUCCGUA